CCCCUAGAUGUUCUGGGCCGCACGCGCGCUACACUGAACAGUUCAACAAGUCUUAACCUUGGCCGAUAGGUCUGGGUAAUCUUUGAACGCUGUUCGUGAUUGGGAUAGACCUUUGCAAUUAUGGGUCUUCAACGAGGAAUUCCUAGUAAACGCAAGUCAUCAGCUUGCAUUGAUUACGUCCCUGCCCUUUGUACACACCGCCCGUCGCACCUACCGAUUGAACGGUCCGGUGAAAUCUCGGGACGGCGGCUUGGUCGCUUGCGUCCGACUGCUGAAACUUGAUUAAACCAUAUCAUUUAGAGGAAGGUGAAGUCGUAACA
RNAcentral lists this ribosomal RNA (320 nucleotides) under uncultured eukaryote. RNAcentral describes it as "partial 18S ribosomal RNA". It matches the Rfam family "Eukaryotic small subunit ribosomal RNA", at positions 1470 to 1796 of the family's 1831-position model. The record is from RNAcentral.